AAUGUACUCCCUCCGUUCCGAAUUACUUGUCGCGGGUAUGGAUGUAUCUAGAUGUAUUUUAGUUUUAGAUACAUCCAUUUCUACGACGAGUAAUUUGGAACGGAGGGAGUACUCU
Triticum aestivum (bread wheat) is the source of this 115-nucleotide non-coding RNA. The record is from Rfam. NCBI's taxonomy places the organism in Eukaryota, Viridiplantae, Streptophyta, Magnoliopsida, Poales, Poaceae.